This 596-nucleotide long non-coding RNA is filed under the name Mustela putorius furo (domestic ferret). RNAcentral describes it as "lncRNA (ENSMPUG00000025362.1)". The record is from RNAcentral. Lineage: Eukaryota; Metazoa; Chordata; Mammalia; Carnivora; Mustelidae.
ACUCAGCCAAGCAGGGCGACUCACCAGUUUUCAAAGAUAACUUCAGCUGUCUCUUUGGACUUCUUUACAACCUCAGAGUUUUUGGCUGGGCUUGUGAACAUCUAGAAUGGUAGGCAAGUCAUAUCCUUGCAGGACCUUUGCCUAAUAGGGAGUGGGAACCAUAAAGAAAUACCCUCCUCUACACUGGUCUCAGCCACACUGCAGAAAAGAGGCAAAAGAAUUGGAUGGCAAGAUUUCCAACGAGAAAAACAAAAAGACAACGCCUGACGGACACAUUGCCUGCCGAGGAGUAGAAGAAAUGGGAAAUAAGUUCAAUUUGCUGUGAAGAGACUUAAAGAAAAGGUAUUAGCAGCAGAAGGAAGUCAGUCUGGAGAGUAGGUUUUUGAGACUGAGUACAUUCAUCUGAGCUGUUAGCUGCUACGCUCCACUGCGUCCUUGUAUGAUCUGCCUGGUCCAGACCCCUGGAGAAAAUUUGUGCAUGCAUACUGUAUGUGAACUUUAGAUAAAUAAAUAAACACGCGAAACAGCUUCCAGAUAAUUGAAAGUGAAUGAAGGAGGGAGCAAAAAGAAAACAAUUUCUCGGGAUAAGCAGCGAA